Molecule: ribosomal RNA, 497 nt
Filed under: uncultured bacterium
Lineage: Bacteria
Description: partial 16S ribosomal RNA
Rfam family: Bacterial small subunit ribosomal RNA
Source: RNAcentral
GACGAACGCUGGCGGCGUGCCUAAUACAUGCAAGUAGAACGCUGAAGAGAGGAGCUUACUCUUCUUGGAUGAGUUGCGAACGGGUGAGUAACGCGUAGGUAACCUGCCUUGUAGCGGGGGAUAACUAUUGGAAGCGAUAGCUAAUACCGCAUAACAAUGGAUGACACAUGUCAUUUAUUUGAAAGGGGCAAUUGCUCCACUACAAGAUGGACCUGCGUUGUAUUAGCUAGUAGGUGAGGUAAUGGCUCACCUAGGCGACGAUACAUAGCCGACCUGAGAGGGUGAUCGGCCAAACUGGGACUGAGACACGGCCCAGACUCCUACGGGAGGCAGCAGUAGGGAAUCUUCGGCAAUAGGGGCAACCCUGACCGAGCAACGCCGCGUGAGUGAAGAAGGUUUUCGGAUCGUAAAGCUCUGUUGUAAGUCAAGAACGGGUGUGAGAGUGGAAAGUUCACAAUGUGACGGUAGCUUACCAGAAAGAGACGGCUAACUACGUG